Molecule: ribosomal RNA, 292 nt
Filed under: uncultured bacterium
Lineage: Bacteria
Description: partial 16S ribosomal RNA
Rfam family: Bacterial small subunit ribosomal RNA
Source: RNAcentral
GUGUCAGCAGCCGCGGUAAUACGUAGGCAGCGAGCGUUGUUCGGAGUUACUGGGCGUAAAGAGUGCGUAGGCGGUGGCCUAAGUCUGGUGUGAAAUCUCCCGGCUCAACUGGGAGGGUGCGCCGGAAACUGGGUUGCUAGAGUGUGGGAGAGGCUAGCGGAAUUCCUGGUGUAGCGGUGAAAUGCGUAGAUAUCAGGAGGAACACCUGCGGUGUAGACGGCUGGCUGGACCACUACUGACGCUGAGGCACGAAAGCGUGGGGAGCAAACAGGAUUAGAAACCCCCGUAGUCC